GUGUUCUGUUCGGUAACCUGCAUGCUGUUCGAGCAAGUCACGACGCGUUCAAUUGAAAAAGUUCAUAAUUUUCUCGAGGAUUUACUAAGAUUCUUCAAGUGUCCAUAGUCUGUUAGUGUUACAUUGUUGAAAACACAAUGCAUUCUCUUCCUGUUCAACAGUAAGUGAAAACUCCCGGAGACAAAACCUAAAGUGCAAAACAGAGCUUCAGAGAACGUAAUCUUCUGUUGCGCAUUUCACCCGAAACAGCCUAAAAACAUUCAUCAAUUCAAGUUGGUUCUGUGAAAGAAGUUCAACACGGUGAUCAUGAGGGAGCCGGAAAAAUGCAGCUCGGUUAUUCUGGAACAUCUGCAAGAAUCAACUCAUUGUGCAUUAUGGAUUUUGCGUGAUUGAAGCGGUUUAAUCAAUGUCGGGCACCAAGAAAUGAUUUAAUAAAGCUGCAGCGAAGAACAGCAAUUUAGAGUAGAUCCAUAUAUCCGUAGUAGAUCUUUAUGAAAUAAAUGAAUAUGAUGAUAAUUAAUACGAAA
Long non-coding RNA from Aedes aegypti (yellow fever mosquito), 527 nucleotides. RefSeq lists it as uncharacterized. The record is from RefSeq and is a predicted model, not a curated record. The transcript is spliced from 2 exons. Lineage: Eukaryota; Metazoa; Arthropoda; Insecta; Diptera; Culicidae.